Molecule: ribosomal RNA, 758 nt
Filed under: Zeroviella laxa
Lineage: Eukaryota; Fungi; Ascomycota; Lecanoromycetes; Teloschistales; Teloschistaceae
Description: mitochondrial SSU rRNA
Rfam family: Bacterial small subunit ribosomal RNA
Source: RNAcentral
CUUGGAGGAAUGUAUAGCAAUUGCUAUUUGCAUUAAAAGUUUUAGUGUAAAAUCGACUUUGUCGAAUAAAAUUCUGGGUAUAAUUAUGAUAAUGACAUUACCUACUCAUAAGUCUUGACCAAAUUACGUGCCAGCAGUCGCGGUAAUACGUAGAAGACAAGUGUUAUUCAUCUUUAAUAGGUUUAAAGGGUACUUAGACGGUAAAUAAAGCCUCCAAAAGGUACUAGUUUGCUAGAGUUUUAUAUGAAGGAGUUUUAAAGUACUACUGGUGUAGAGAUGAAAUUCAGUUAUACCUUACAUGGCACAGGUUAAGGCGAAAGCAUCUUCUUAUGUAAAAACUGACGUUGAAGGACGAAGGCUUUGUGUCUCGAACAGGAUUAGAUACCCUAGUAGUCUAAGCAGAAAAUGAUGAAUGUCAUAGAUUAGAUUUAAUUUGAUCUGUAAAUGAAAGUGUAAGCAUUCCACCUCAAGAGUAAUUUGGCAACAUUGGAACUGAAAUCAUUAGACCGUUUCUGAAACCAGUAGUGAAGUAUGUUGUUUAAUUUGAUAAUCCGCAAAAAACCUUACCACAAUUUGAAUAGAUAUAUUUUAUCAUACAAGCGUUGCACGGCUGUCUUCAGUUAAUGUCGUGAGACUUUGGUUAGUUCCAUUAAAUUAACGUAAACCCUUACUUUAUUUUUAUAUAAAGUAGUUCACCGCUAUAUUGGAUGUGAUAAUAGGGAUCAAGACAAGUCAUCAUGACCUAAAUAUUGUGGGCU